CACAAGCGGUGGAUGAUGUGGUUUAAUUCGAUGCAACGCGAAAACCUUACCCGCCUUUGACAUGUACGGAACCCUUUAGAGAUAGAGGGGUGCUCGAAAGAGAGCCGUAACACAGGUGCUGCACGGCUGUCGUCAGCUCGUGUCGUGAGAUGUUGGGUUAAGUCCCGCAACGAGCGCAACCCUUGUCAUUAGUUGCUACAUUCAGUUGGGCACUCUAAUGAGACUGCCGGUGACAAGCCGGAGGAAGGUGGGGAUGACGUCAAGUCCUCAUGGCCCUUAUAGGUGGGGCUACACACGUCAUACAAUGGCUGGUACAAAGGGUUGCCAACCCGCGAGGGGGAGCCAAUCCCACAAAUCCGCUCCUAGUUCGGAUUGGAGUCUGCAACCCGACUCCAUGAAGCUGGAAUCGCUAGUAAUCGCGGAUCAGCAUGCCGCGGUGAAUACGUUCCCGGGCCUU
Molecule: ribosomal RNA, 457 nt
Filed under: uncultured Rhodoferax sp.
Lineage: Bacteria; Pseudomonadati; Pseudomonadota; Betaproteobacteria; Burkholderiales; Comamonadaceae
Description: bacterial SSU rRNA
Rfam family: Bacterial small subunit ribosomal RNA
Source: RNAcentral